AAUCUUCGGAGGACACAGUCGGAAGUUAGUGGCGGACGGGUGAGUAACGCGUGGGUAACCUGCCCUUUAAAUUGGGACAACAGUUGGAAACGACUGCUAAUACCGAAUGUGACGUUUAGGAGACAUCUCUUGGAAGUCAAAGCUUUAUGUGCUGAAAGAUGGCCUCGCGUCUGAUUAGCUGGUUGGUGAGGUAACGGCUCACCAAGGCGACGAUCAGUAGCCGGUCUGAGAGGAUGAACGGCCACAUUGGGACUGAGAUACGGCCCAGACUCC
RNAcentral lists this ribosomal RNA (273 nucleotides) under uncultured bacterium. RNAcentral describes it as "partial 16S ribosomal RNA". It matches the Rfam family "Bacterial small subunit ribosomal RNA", at positions 69 to 339 of the family's 1533-position model. The record is from RNAcentral.